This 208-nucleotide long non-coding RNA is filed under the name Capsicum annuum. RNAcentral describes it as "long non-coding RNA (CANN_LNC003828)". Lineage: Eukaryota; Viridiplantae; Streptophyta; Magnoliopsida; Solanales; Solanaceae. The record is from RNAcentral.
AUGAGUGGUUUUUUCAAAAUAUCUAGUUGGGAUUAAUCCUUCUUGAAUACAACUAACAUCAGCACCACUAUCAAUCAUAGCAAUAUUGGUAACAGAAAAUUCCUUAUUUAUCAAAAUAGUGCAGUUUAUAUACCACUUAUGAGCAGUAACAAUUUGCAUCAUUCCCAAGAAAUAAUCUUUUUUCAAAUCUUCUGCUGGACUGAAUUUA